This 469-nucleotide ribosomal RNA is filed under the name uncultured bacterium. RNAcentral describes it as "SSU rRNA". It matches the Rfam family "Bacterial small subunit ribosomal RNA", at positions 26 to 518 of the family's 1533-position model. The record is from RNAcentral.
AGGACGAACGCUGGCGGCGUGCUUAACACAUGCAAGUCGAGCGGAAAGGCCCUUCGGGGUACUCGAGCGGCGAACGGGUGAGUAACACGUGAGUAAUCUGCCCCUAGCUCUGGGAUAGCUCCGGGAAACCGGGAUUAAUACCAGAUACGACCACUUUAGACAUCUUUUGUGGUGGAAAGAAUUUCGGCUAGGGAUGAACUCGCGGCCUAUCAGCUUGUUGGUGAGGUAACGGCUCACCAAGGCGACGACGGGUAGCCGGCCUGAGAGGGCGACCGGCCACACUGGGACUGAGACACGGCCCAGACUCCUACGGGAGGCAGCAGUGGGGAAUAUUGCGCAAUGGGCGAAAGCCUGACGCAGCGACGCCGCGUGGGGGAUGAAGGCCUUCGGGUUGUAAACUCCUGUCAGUGGGAAGAGAAUGGACGGUACCCACUGAGGAAGCUUCGGCUAACUACGCGCCAGCAGCCGC